CAGCCGCCGCGGUAAUACGUAGGGUGCAAGCGUUAUCCGGAAUUAUUGGGCGUAAAGAGCUCGUAGGCGGUUUGUCGCGUCUGCUGUGAAAACUGGAGGCUCAACCUCCAGCCUGCAGUGGGUACGGGCAGACUAGAGUGCGGUAGUGGAGAUUGGAAUUCCUGGUGUAGCGGUGGAAUGCGCAGAUAUCAGGAGGAACACCGAUGGCGAAGGCAGAUCUCUGGGCCGUAACUGACGCUGAGGAGCGAAAGCGUGGGGAGCGAACAGGAUUAGAUACCCCUGUAGUCCCUGUCACUUAUAC
Molecule: ribosomal RNA, 301 nt
Filed under: uncultured bacterium
Lineage: Bacteria
Description: partial 16S ribosomal RNA
Rfam family: Bacterial small subunit ribosomal RNA
Source: RNAcentral